CCUACGGGAGGCAGCAGUGAGGAAUAUUGGUCAAUGGGCGAGAGCCUGAACCAGCCAAGUCGCGUGAAGGAUGACGGCCCUACGGGUUGUAAACUUCUUUUGUCAGGGAGCAAUUGGGUCCACGCGUGGGCUUAUCGAUGGUACCUGCAGAAAAAGCAUCGGCUAACUCCGUGCCAGCGGCCGCGUUAAUACGGAGGAUGCGAGCGUUACCCGGUUUUAUUGGGUUUAAAGGGUGGGUAGGCGGAAUAUCAAGUCAGCGGUAAAGAUUCGGGGCUCAACCCCGUCGUGACGUUGAAACUGGUGUUCUUGAGUGGGCGAGAAGUAGGCGGAAUGCGUGGUGUAGCGGUGAAAUGCAUAGAUAUCACGCAGAACUCCGAUUGCGAAGGCAGCAUACCGGAGCCCAACUGACGCUGAAGCACGAAAGCGUGGGUAUCGAACAGGAUUAGAUACCCUUGUAGUC
RNAcentral lists this ribosomal RNA (460 nucleotides) under uncultured bacterium. RNAcentral's name for it is "partial 16S ribosomal RNA". It matches the Rfam family "Bacterial small subunit ribosomal RNA", at positions 338 to 795 of the family's 1533-position model. The record is from RNAcentral.